Long non-coding RNA from Gasterosteus aculeatus aculeatus (three-spined stickleback), 516 nucleotides. The record is from Ensembl. Lineage: Eukaryota; Metazoa; Chordata; Actinopteri; Perciformes; Gasterosteidae.
CUUAACCAACACACAACACACACGUUCUAUGUAUGAACAAACCUCCAUCACUGAAACUACUGACGCGAAACUGUAGCAGCGUUCGAAUCUAACCCACAACUCCAGCGAGCCUUUGGGGGAAACGGGGGGACAUGAUGGCGGGUAUCAUGGUGUGGGCUUCUCUCAGCGCUCUCCUCUCUCUGGUCGGGUGUCCCGCGUGUGUCCUCGUCCUCCGUCCUCUGUACAGAAGACUCAAAGCAGGAACCCCGUUCUCCCCCAACGACUUCUUCAUGCUCAACCUCACCGUCAUGGACUUGGUCUUCUUGCUUUUCGUCCCGUUUGGGCUGUGCAACUUCCUCCUGUGGCACGCGAGGGCCGUUCAGUUGUUGAGCAACUUCCUGUACGCCUUGAACCUGGCCGGGCGACCCCUGCUCACGGCCUGCAUCUGUCUGGACUGCUUCCUGGCCGUGGUCCAUCCCGUCACCUACCACACCAGGAAGAGUCUGACCCCGCGGUUCCUCAUGGCCGCCGUCGUGU